GGCAACCCCAGAGCUGGCAUUUGAUUGAUGUUUACACUGCAAUAAACACCCUCCUGUUUAUUUCUGCCCUCAGCACCUCACCUGGGUUUGUAGGGAGCUUCAUGUUCCUGAAGUGCUUUGGCAAAAGUGGAGGGAGAAGUGGAGAUAGUUCUGGUUUUGUUUUAAAAAGAAACACCCUGAAAGGCGCAUUAUUUAUAUAUUUUAUUUUAUUUCUAGGAGAAGAUGAUGAGGGAUGUGUAAACUACUCUGGAAGAUCAUCCCAGGAAAGGAACUAAAGGAGCCAGAAAUUAGGGAGGAGGAGGACAUCAGGAAGUCUCCUAAUCCUUGCUGCCUUGCCAAAUGAUGGAAAUGUGAAAGCUGCCAGAAAGAACAGGGAUGAAAAGUGAUACUCCUCCAGUUUGUCUCUCUGAUGCUGCAACCUGGAGACAAGUCAUUUCUGCAGCAAGGCUGUGCAAACAUCAUGUGUUCCUGUGUGGAAAGCAGGGGAGACGGCCAGGAGCAACAGGACAUGGUGAGGAACAUCCGGGAUCAGCUCCUGACUCCCUUGUUUUAUUUUCUCUUGGGUUCUGCCUUGUUCCAUUCCAGAAGCUGUUUCCAGGGACUGGGAUCAGCCCGGUUGGAGGUGCAGAAAAUGAACCCAGCAGCCAGCUCUGCUCAGUGACUCAGAAUCUCUGCUGCCAUCUUCAGUAAGAGGAAAGCCUGAGCCUCUGAUAGACCCAUCCCUGCUUGAGCAAGGUUUUUAAAGUGGAUUCUGUUCAUUUGGCCAUGCCAAGCUGUGUUCAGAGUUUUGGAAAGGUUUCCAUGCUCACCAGGGGUAUCCAUGGCUGAUGCUGAGUGUCCUUGAGCUGCUGAAAGUUGAGAACAAAUGAAGCAAAAUGGUUUUUGUAUUACCAGCAGGAUUUUAUGUAUGCUGUGGGUAGAUUUAAUUGGGAGAGAUUCUGUUCAGAAUGAUGGUAAAUCCAGGAUAACCCUGCCUUAGGUCAGCUGGUUUCAAUGCUGCUGCUGUAGAUCGACAUGCAUAGAAGAGAGGAGAUUUCCACCCUAAAUUGUGGGUAUUUCUUACUGGGAUAAAUUAUCCAGUUUAUCUGAUUGUCUGCAGAUUAUCACAAUGUCAGUGGAUCUGCCUGCUAUGAGAACAUGGAUAAAUCAUUUUUGAAGGUGUGGACUUCAUAAUUUAAUUUCUCUAUCUUGCCUAAACAAGUACUGCAUUCUCUGAAAGCCCCUUAUCCCUAUUGCUCUUAUCUGGGAUUUAUUUUUCAAGGAAAGAUUAGAUUAAAUUUCUGUAAAAAUAUUCAAUAUACUUGAUCAGCAGCGUGGGAUUUAGCAAUGCAUUGGUGUGUCACCUGCUGUGCACACAGAAAAUGUUGGCUAUUUUCUUACUGUCUUGAUCUAAACUCAUGAAUAUACAACUGGAACAUACAUUUGGGGAAGAAAUGUAUCCACCCUCCUUUAGAAUGACAUGAAAAUCACAAGUUCAAUUUAAGGUACAAAUUGGAAUUGUUUCUUGGCUUGAAGUGCUUAAGCAAUAUUAGGAACUUUUGCCUAAUCUCUGUUUUACAGAUUAAAACACAAAUAUUUCCAGUGCAACCAGAAUUUAUUAAAGCAGGCUAUUGCCUAGGGAAAUAUGUCUUUGGAUGUGUUUCUAUCAGCUCUCCUGGAAAAAAAAAAUGAAUGCAAUUAGCAUUGCAUA
Long non-coding RNA from Cyanistes caeruleus (blue tit), 1690 nucleotides. NCBI's taxonomy places the organism in Eukaryota, Metazoa, Chordata, Aves, Passeriformes, Paridae. The record is from Ensembl.